Molecule: non-coding RNA, 670 nt
Filed under: Pongo abelii (Sumatran orangutan)
Lineage: Eukaryota; Metazoa; Chordata; Mammalia; Primates; Hominidae
Source: RNAcentral
AUGACCUGUACUUCUCUGUUCUCUCCCCUACUGCAAAGAGGCAGCGAGGGCAGCAUUAGUAAGCCUGACUCAGGGGAAAUGAACAACACAGAUGGGUUAAAUGAUUUGCCUAAAGUCACACAGCUCAUAAGGGCCAGAGCCUGCACUUUCAUCCACUAGCCUAUAUUCUGUGCUGUCAUCACUGAUAGCAGUGACUGAGACUGAGAGAAAAAGUCACUUAAGAGCCGAUGGCUGCUACUAAAAAAUUUAAAUGUGUGGCUCAUGUUACAUUUCAACUGGACACUGCUAUGCUGGUUCCAGCAUGAAAGACAGCCAUGUGUCCCUGGAAUGCAGAGUGUGCACACAAUCCCUGCGGAACCAACACAGGAUACAAAGGUUUUCUUCUCCUCUGCUAUCCAGAGCCUGUGAGAGCUCCAGCUGUAGACUAUCAGGUUGGGGUAAAGGCCGCUGUGCACAGGCACACUCACAUUUACUACCACCACCAAGCGAGCACCUGCUGAGGCUCUGAUCUGCUGUUAACACCAUGUCGGGGAGGGAAGUGUCCAGAAGAGGGGGCAGUGAACCCAAAGGAAGGCUGCAGAGAAGCCAACUAUAAUAAACUAAUAAGCUAUCACAGAAUCAAGACACAUGCACAUGGAACAGUCAAAUGAUUCCUGCAGGCAAAGUUCCU